This 781-nucleotide ribosomal RNA is filed under the name uncultured bacterium. RNAcentral describes it as "bacterial SSU rRNA". It matches the Rfam family "Bacterial small subunit ribosomal RNA", at positions 28 to 811 of the family's 1533-position model. The record is from RNAcentral.
GAUGAACGCUGGCGGCGUGCCUAACACAUGCAAGUCGAACGAAGCACCUUACCUGAUUCUUCGGAUGAAGGUCUGGUGACUGAGUGGCGGACGGGUGAGUAACGCGUGGGUAACCUGCCCUGUACAGGGGGAUAACAGCUGGAAACGGCUGCUAAUACCGCAUAAGCGCACGAGGAGACAUCUCCUAGUGUGAAAAACUCCGGUGGUACAGGAUGGGCCCGCGUCUGAUUAGCUGGUUGGCAGGGUAACGGCCUACCAAGGCAACGAUCAGUAGCCGGUCUGAGAGGAUGAACGGCCACAUUGGAACUGAGGCACGGUCCAAACUCCUACGGGAGGCAGCAGUGGGGAAUAUUGCACAAUGGGGGAAACCCUGAUGCAGCAACGCCGCGUGAGUGAAGAAGUAUUUCGGUAUGUAAAGCUCUAUCAGCAGGGAAGAUAAUGACGGUACCUGACUAAGAAGCUCCGGCUAAAUACGUGCCAGCAGCCGCGGUAAUACGUAUGGAGCAAGCGUUAUCCGGAUUUACUGGGUGUAAAGGGUGCGUAGGUGGCAGUGCAAGUCAGAUGUGAAAGGCCGGGGCUCAACCCCGGAGCUGCAUUUGAAACUGCUCGGCUAGAGUACAGGAGAGGCAGGCGGAAUUCCUAGUGUAGCGGUGAAAUGCGUAGAUAUUAGGAGGAACACCAGUGGCGAAGGCGGCCUGCUGGACUGUUACUGACACUGAGGCACGAAAGCGUGGGGAGCAAACAGGAUUAGAUACCCUGGUAGUCCACGCCGUAAACGAUG